GGCGCGAUGGCAGAGUGGUUAAUGCGCAAGACUUGAAAUCUUGUUCCCUUGGGAGCGUAGGGUGAGUUGCAAACUCUCACGCUAUGAUAUUCGGUUGAUACUAACGUACUUGGCAGUUCGAACCCUACUCGCGCCG
Molecule: non-coding RNA, 136 nt
Organism: Phaeosphaeria sp. MPI-PUGE-AT-0046c
Lineage: Eukaryota; Fungi; Ascomycota; Dothideomycetes; Pleosporales; Phaeosphaeriaceae
Source: the annotation of a GenBank genome assembly